GACAUCCUGGGCCGGGGAUGGGUGUCGCUGGCAUUUUGAUUCACCUAGCGAUGUGAAAACUUCCUGAAACAGCAUGUGAUGAAUUCUUUGUAGAGUACACAUAACGGGAAUAAUUGAAUAGUUUCUGCAGCGGGUGUGUAGGCCCGUCAUCUCUGCCGCCUGGUUGUGUGGGGACAAGGAGUUCAAGUUGUGACUGGAGGAGUGGUGGUGUCCACUGGAGGGCAACUUUACUGGACCACUUGUAGAAGCUCAUCGUCAUGAAGUUCAUCUACACCAACUGAUACAGUUCCACUUUGACCCAAGAGAACAAUCUAGACUCAGAAUUUGCAAAAGGUAGGUAUUAUAUGGACAGAGUGGACAUGAUCCUAGAUCAGCACUCCUACUCUAAUGGUUAAUUCUCUCUCUCCCUCAUCCUUUCUAUAAAUUCAGAUUGACCCCAUUGUCUAUGAUUAGUAGAUGUGGGUGAGUGGACUACAGAUCUGUG
Molecule: long non-coding RNA, 484 nt
Filed under: Salmo salar (Atlantic salmon)
Lineage: Eukaryota; Metazoa; Chordata; Actinopteri; Salmoniformes; Salmonidae
Description: lncRNA (ENSSSAG00000101742.1)
Source: RNAcentral